Molecule: ribosomal RNA, 91 nt
Filed under: uncultured bacterium
Lineage: Bacteria
Description: partial 16S ribosomal RNA
Rfam family: Bacterial small subunit ribosomal RNA
Source: RNAcentral
CUACGGGAGGCAGCAGUGGGGAAUAUUGGACAAUGGGCGAAAGCCUGAUCCAGCAAUGCGGCGUGAGUGAUGAAGGCCUUAGGGUUGUAAA